CUGGGCUUGGAGUAUUCUUGUAAUACCUGAAACAUCUGUCAAUCAACCUUUAAUAAGGGAUGUUGUAGGCACCCUCCUCCCAUCAGCCAAAACCGCAAUAGGAGCUGUAGCUGGCUAAAUGUCAAAUUAUCACAGCGCUCAUUGCUGGAUAGCCAGAAGGAAGUUAUGGAGUCUCUGCCUUAGCCAUACUCCCAGUAAGUGCCCGGGACAGUCAUUAAAAGUUAAACUGUUUGAAGUUGUUAUAGUGCCUGGGAGCCCCAGGCACUGUACCUCUAGUGUUAAACCAUUUUCAAUGAGAUGU
Molecule: non-coding RNA, 301 nt
Organism: Pelobates cultripes (western spadefoot toad)
Lineage: Eukaryota; Metazoa; Chordata; Amphibia; Anura; Pelobatidae
Source: the annotation of a GenBank genome assembly